GGCAAGAAGGGGCCGGGGGGCGCGGGUAUGCGUAGGGUGGGGGGGUUGCCGGGUGUGAUUGGGCGGAGAGGGGGCGUGGGCGGCCCGGCGGGUGGGCGGUGAAAUGUCGCGGGUCAACUGUGAGGGGACGGCCGAGAGGGGCGGGCUGGAGCGAGGUAGGGGAGAGUGGAAUUCCCGGUGUAGUGGUGGAAUGCGUAGAUAUCGGGAGGAACACCAGUGGCGAAGGCGGCUCUCUGGACCUCUGCUGACGCUGAGGCGCGAAAGCGUGGGGAGCGAUCCGGAUUAGAUACCCCGGUAGUC
Molecule: ribosomal RNA, 300 nt
Filed under: uncultured Methanocaldococcus sp.
Lineage: Archaea; Methanobacteriati; Methanobacteriota; Methanococci; Methanococcales; Methanocaldococcaceae
Description: bacterial SSU rRNA
Rfam family: Bacterial small subunit ribosomal RNA (bases 56-300)
Source: RNAcentral